Molecule: non-coding RNA, 772 nt
Organism: Salmo salar (Atlantic salmon)
Lineage: Eukaryota; Metazoa; Chordata; Actinopteri; Salmoniformes; Salmonidae
Source: RefSeq, a predicted model, not a curated record
AUAAACCAUUCACUGGUGUCGAUUAUAGAGAGGUAGAGCUGGUAUUAUAAACCCUUCACUGGUGUCUAUUAUAGAGAGGUAGAGCUGGUAUUUUAGUUUGUGCCAAAAACAAAUGAGCCAUCAUAAACAGAAACAGAGAGCGAGUCACAUUUGUUCAUUUUAUUGAUAAAUUCUUUUUUUUAUUUUUUAUUAUUCCAAGCUACAGUUUCAAUGCGCUGAAUUAAACUAUGUACAAGAAAAGAGAGAGAGAGAGAGUUUCUGUAUUCAUCAUCACAUUCAGAACAAGAUUAGUUAAGAGAUUGUGCCUAUUGUGUCUAGACAGGAUUGCAUAUCGACCACAAUGCUAGCUAGGUUUCACUGGCUUCAGGAAACAAUCAGGCAAUAAGCAGGAAGUCAGCUACAUUCUAGUAGCGGCGGUGGGAGAGCUGGAGAGUUAAGGAUCGGAUAAUGGGGCCCGGUUUACCUGGUUCUAACCCGUGAACUAAGCCUUAGGGGGGGGGUUUGGGCCCCAGAACAUUACCUUUCCUUUUUGAAUCAGAAACCUAAUAUAACAGUUGGUGUAAAACAAGAACAUGUAUAGUGUGUUUCCCACCAAUGAUGAGAAGGCUAUUGACAUGUGUUGAAGAAGUAGUUAGGUAUGAUAACAGGCAUGAUAACAGUAUGGUGGAGGUAAACACUAGGGCAUGAUAACAGUAUAGUGGAGGUAAACACUAGGACAUGAUAACAGCAUGGUGGAGGUAAACACUAGGACAUGAUAACAGCAUGGUGGAGG